GAUGAAGAACGUAGCGAAAUGCGAUAAGUAAUGUGAAUUGCAGAAUUCAGUGAAUCAUCGAAUCUUUGAACGCACAUUGCGCCCGCCAGUAUUCUGGCGGGCAUGCCUGUCCGAGCGUCAUUUCAACCCUCGAACCCCUCCGGGGGGUCGGCGUUGGGGAUCGGCCCUGCCUCUUGGCGGUGGCCGUCUCCGAAAUACAGUGGCGGUCUCGCCGCAGCCUCUCCUGCGCAGUAGUUCGCACACUCGCAUCGGGAGCGCGGCGCGUCCACAGCCGUUAAACACCCAACUUCUGAAAUGUUGACCUCGGAUCAGGUAGGAAUACCCGCUGAACUUAAGCAUAUCAAUAAGCGGAGGA
This 355-nucleotide unclassified non-coding RNA is filed under the name soil metagenome. Its description in RNAcentral is "partial contains 5.8S ribosomal RNA, internal transcribed spacer 2, and large subunit ribosomal RNA". The stretch from base 1 to 120 matches the Rfam family "5.8S ribosomal RNA", at positions 35 to 154 of the family's 154-position model. The record is from RNAcentral.